AAAUCAGAUGGAGAAAUUCAAGGCAUUAAGGGUAUUUUACUCAUCACAUGCCCAAUUCCUGCCUACUCCCUGAUGCCUUACAUGUGCAUGGCUCCUUUGUCAUCCCUCACAAGCCUUUCCCUUGCUACUCUUCACCUUCCAUCCCUACAGCACAUCUUCAUUCAGGCUGCUUCUCCAUCAUGCAAAGACAGACAUUGGUUUUAACCAAUUGGAUGCUAUGUUACGUAUUUCUGUGCAAAGGUAGAAAUCACAAAACCUGGUAGAUUUAGACAAACAUCCAAAUGUUUGCAGAGAACGUGUUAAAAAAAAAACAACAAGGGGAUGGGGCAAGGCAAACUGAACUUUGACCGCUAAAAACUGAUGGGUUUUACAGCAUGGACAUUGAACAGAAGUUUGCUUCCUGAGGUUGAGCAUUAAUUUUCUCAGAUAAAGCUAGAAUGUUUGUCCAAAUACACACUAAGUCAACUCAUAAAGUGACUAUUUCUAAACCACAAGGAGCAAAUUGAGUGUCAGAGAUUCUGGGAGAUCACGCAGAAGCAACAGAGAUCGCAGAGUCUAACCAGUCUCAAGAUUCCAGGCAGAAAUAAACCACAGACUGCAGGCUGCCAUCAGACUCCUGUUAAGGGAAGGGAUCUUCUCCAGGACAUAUGUAGCUUUUCUCAAUAUUUAACAAUUCAGAUUUUUCUAAAGUUGAAUACUGUAUUUCUAAUAACACUAAGCAAAUGAUCUUUCAAAUGGAGGUACUCUUUCAACUGCUCGAGUCCCAAAAGACAUGAAGUACAGCAAUCAAGAUACUCACCAAAACAGGACUGAAGUUCAAAGGACAACCAGCAACAGCUGAAGACGAGCCCACAAAAUGGCACUGCCACAAAAGAUCUGCAGCACCCAAGUAAACAACCCUGAGUACGUCAUGAGGAAAAAGAAAGAAGCUAUGAAAGCCAUCACAUGUGAAGCCUAUUUUUGGAAUCAGUAUCAUCUUAGACAAGGAAAUUAGCUACUAAAUGUAAUUACUGGCUAAUGAAGGAAGUCAUAAACAGCUGAAACCACAAACAACUCUAUGAUGCAGAAAAUCAAUAUACUCAGAAAAACAGAGACAAGAAAAUAUCAAUGACUAGUUCAUGCAGGGCCCAAACCUCACCUGGUUUGAGCAGAUGUGGGUGUGUGAAGGGGCUGGGCUGGCCCAAAUACCGGUUUGGAAUCUUCCUCUGCUGGGCAGGCUGGAUGGAAAAUCUUCGGAGAGCACAUGAUUUGCAAACUAGAGGAAAAGAAACGCACCAUGUCAAGGUAAAAAACCCCAAAUCUUUCCAGCUAGGAAACUGCAGAACUGUGGUCUAGUCAUCAGACCCUUAGCAGCAUUUUUUCACUUAUAUGACAUAAAUAUCCCUCCUUAAGGUCUCCAUUUGCUGUGCAUCACAAGUUUAUGAAACAAUGUGCACACAACUCAACUGACAAUCAAAUACUCGUGGAACAGAUAAAAACAAACAUAUUCAUAACAGAAAGAAACGAACAUAUGCUAAACCUGACAAUUCAGCAACAAAACCCAGGAAGCUCUGUUGGUUUGCACAUCCCAAUUCAUACAACUGACAAUCAGGAGGUACUCAGCACUCUCCCUCCCUUGCUUCCUUCAAACACCAAAGGGCUCCAGGCACCACACCUGUAUAUUGUCUCUUCUUGACUAUGUCUUCAAAAAAUUUCUCUCAUUUAGAAAAAUUAUACAGUUUUCAAGGCCUUUCCAGUUCUGUUUUUUAUUGCUAAUGCUGAAAAGAAACCAUCAAAUAACACAGGUUAAUACAGGAAUUUUCCUGUGUGGAGGAUA
Molecule: long non-coding RNA, 1816 nt
Organism: Parus major (Great Tit)
Lineage: Eukaryota; Metazoa; Chordata; Aves; Passeriformes; Paridae
Exons: 2
Source: RefSeq, a predicted model, not a curated record